Molecule: long non-coding RNA, 1088 nt
Filed under: Struthio camelus australis
Lineage: Eukaryota; Metazoa; Chordata; Aves; Struthioniformes; Struthionidae
Description: lncRNA (ENSSCUG00000013525.1)
Source: RNAcentral
UCAGAAUUUUGUGAUUUAGAAUUGAAGUAUCUAUAUUCAUAAGGAUAAGUUAUGUUUAUAACCUGACAGGCUGAUUCUGCUUGCUGAUCAUUGCUUUGAUCUCUUCCUUUAAGGUCUGCCUUUCAUCUAUGAGGCAGUAAGCAAUAAACCAUCUAUACCAACAACAGCAUUUACAGAUGAGCAGAGUGCUGUGGCAAGCAAGGCUAACGGCAGGCACAUCAAUAUGCAGCUUCACAGACACAGAAGAAGAGAAGACAACAUGUGGCAAGGUAGGGGAAGCAGAAAGGAGGAGAGCAGAACUACCCCUUUUUGGCGACUGUGGUACCACAGCAUUCACUUGCUCUAGAGCCCCUUCUCAUCCCAACUGCUGCUGUCUGUGUGGUGCUGGCUGGUUCCCUGAACUUGCACAGAAAAGUGCAGGGCUUCCCUGGUUCUGCCAGCUUGUGCAGGUUUUCUGCUCUGUCCUCAAGCCCAGGUCUGCAAGGUAGGUUUCCUGUCUGUACCAGGAAAUCUACUGUUCAGAGAGAACGUUCACUUCUGAGCUCUGUAAAAUGCUGCUUUAAACAUUGCCACGUUCACACUGCAGUACCACGGCAGUUGCCUACGCUAUUCAUUACAAGGCUCUGUUCGGUAAAGGAUGUGACACUGCAAACAGAUCUCCAGAGAAGAGUGGGAGAGGGAAAAGGCAAUUUGGUGUUGCAGGAGGUUAAAUAGGAUGUUGAUUGCUUUCUCCUUUCAGACAUUAAAUGCAAAUUCAGGUGAUGAGUGAUAACUUGACUUAUAUUUUAGAUGUUAUUUUCCCUUACAUUUUAGUUAGGCUCUCUGUGUGUGCACAUGAUACUAUAUUUGUACUCUGCAUAUGUAUUUAGUGAAGAAAGCCUCGGUGAAUUCGUGAUUCCAUCUAUGGUGUUUAUUCCAAGCAUAAACUUAAGCUACGUUGUUGAUACAAAGGAAAGUGGCUUGGCUUCCUUUCAGCAGAGAGGAAUUCCUGAUGCCACCUAUGUCAGAAUCUGAAGAGGGUUAGCACAUGGAUAACUUCUUUAAAAUAAGCUUCGGUACCAACACAGACUAUGUGAUGGUGAGGGGAG